UACGGAGGGUGCAAGCGUUAUCCGGAAUCAUUGGGUUUAAAGGGUCCGCAGGCGGACUUAUAAGUCAGUGGUGAAAGCCUACAGCUCAACUGUAGAACUGCCAUUGAUACUGUAAGUCUUGAAUAUGUUCGGAGUGGGCGGAAUGUGACAUGUAGCGGUGAAAUGCUUAGAUAUGUCACAGAACACCGAUAGCGAAGGCAGCUCACUAGACCAUUAUUGACGCUCAUGGACGAAAGCGUGGGGAGCAAACAGG
RNAcentral lists this unclassified non-coding RNA (253 nucleotides) under uncultured Flavobacteriales bacterium. RNAcentral's name for it is "contains 16S-23S intergenic spacer region". It matches the Rfam family "Bacterial small subunit ribosomal RNA", at positions 524 to 776 of the family's 1533-position model. Lineage: Bacteria; Pseudomonadati; Bacteroidota; Flavobacteriia; Flavobacteriales. The record is from RNAcentral.